RNAcentral lists this ribosomal RNA (468 nucleotides) under uncultured bacterium. RNAcentral describes it as "partial 16S ribosomal RNA". It matches the Rfam family "Bacterial small subunit ribosomal RNA", at positions 28 to 507 of the family's 1533-position model. The record is from RNAcentral.
GACGAACGCUGGCGGCGUGCUUAACACAUGCAAGUCGAACGGAAAGGCCCUGCUUUUGUGGGGUGCUCGAGUGGCGAACGGGUGAGUAACACGUGAGUAACCUUCCCUUGACUUUGGUAUAACUUCAGGAAACUGGGGCUAAUACCUGAUAGGAGCUCCUGCUGCAUGGUGUGGGUUGGAAAGUUUCGGCGGUUGGGGAUGGACUCGCGGCUUAUCAGCUUGUUGGUGGGGUAGUGGCUUACCAAGGCUUUGACGGGUAGCCGGCCUGAGAGGGUGACCGGCCACAUUGGGACUGAGAUACGGCCCAGACUCCUACGGGAGGCAGCAGUGGGGAAUAUUGCACAAUGGGCGGAAGCCUGAUGCAGCAACGCAGCGUGCGGGAUGACGGCCUUCGGGUUGUAAACCGCUUUCGCCUGUGACGAAGCGUGAGUGACGGUAAUGGGUAAAGAAGCACCGGCUAACUACGUG